GACGAACGCUGGCGGCGUGCUUAACACAUGCAAGUCGAACGAUGAAGUUCCUUCGGGAAUGGAUUAGUGGCGAACGGGUGAGGAACACGUGAGAAACCUGCCUUUCAUUUUGGGAUAACUCCGGGAAACCGGGGCUAAAACCGAAUACUCCGUCUCGGCGGCAUCGCUGAGCUGGGAAAAAAUUUUGACGAAAGAUGGUCUCGCGGCCUAUCAGCUAGUUGGUGAGGUAAUGGCUCACCAAGGCAACGACGGGUAGCCGGCCUGAGAGGGCGACCGGCCACACGGGGACGGAGACACGGCCCAGACUCCGACGGGAGGCAGCAGUGGGGAAUAUUGGGCAAUGGGCGCAAGCCUGACCCAGCGACGCCGCGUGAGGGAUGAAGGCCUUCGGGUUGUAAACCUCUUUCAGUAGGGAAGAAGCGAAAGUGACGGUACCUAAAGAAGAAGCACCGGCUAACUAUGUGCCAGCCGCCGCCGUAA
This 480-nucleotide ribosomal RNA is filed under the name uncultured bacterium. RNAcentral's name for it is "partial 16S ribosomal RNA". It matches the Rfam family "Bacterial small subunit ribosomal RNA", at positions 28 to 523 of the family's 1533-position model. The record is from RNAcentral.